UACGUAUGGUGCAAGCGUUAUCCGGAUUUACUGGGUGUAAAGGGAGCGCAGGCGGCGCGUUAAGCCUGGUGUGAAAGCCCGCGGCCCAACCGCGGGACUGCAUUGGGAACUGGCGCGCUGGAGUGCCGGAGGGGUAGGCGGAAUUCCUAGUGUAGCGGUGAAAUGCGUAGAUAUAUGGAAGAACACCAGUGGCGAAGGCGGCUCUCUGGUCUGCAACUGACGCUGAGGCUCGAAAGCAUGGGUAGCGAACAGG
RNAcentral lists this ribosomal RNA (253 nucleotides) under uncultured Eubacteriales bacterium. Its description in RNAcentral is "uncultured Clostridiales bacterium partial 16S ribosomal RNA". It matches the Rfam family "Bacterial small subunit ribosomal RNA", at positions 524 to 776 of the family's 1533-position model. Lineage: Bacteria; Bacillati; Bacillota; Clostridia; Eubacteriales. The record is from RNAcentral.